GCACUGGCAAAAUCCAGUGUCGGGAUUCGUACCCCGAUUGACUCCAAAGGCGCAUGUCGCCAGCUUCUUGCUGGUUUUUU
This 80-nucleotide small RNA is filed under the name Vibrio galatheae. RNAcentral describes it as "Vibrio sp. S2757 isrK Hfq binding RNA". It matches the Rfam family "isrK Hfq binding RNA". The record is from Rfam by way of RNAcentral. Lineage: Bacteria; Pseudomonadati; Pseudomonadota; Gammaproteobacteria; Vibrionales; Vibrionaceae.